RNAcentral lists this ribosomal RNA (415 nucleotides) under uncultured crenarchaeote. RNAcentral's name for it is "partial 16S ribosomal RNA". It matches the Rfam family "Archaeal small subunit ribosomal RNA", at positions 330 to 747 of the family's 1478-position model. Lineage: Archaea; Thermoproteati; Thermoproteota. The record is from RNAcentral.
GUGCAGCAGUCGCGAAAACUCCGCAAUACGCGAAAGCGUGACGGGGCCAUCCCGAGUGCCGUCCGCUGAGGAUGGUUUUUCCCUAGUGUAGAUAGCUGGGGGAAUAAGGAGAGGGCAAGUCUGGUGUCAGCCGCCGCGGUAAUACCAGCUCUUCGAGUGGUAGGGAUGUUUAUUGGGCCUGAAGCAUCCGUAGCCGGCUGGACAAGUCCUCCGUUAAAUCCAGCGAUUCAAUCGUUGGAUUGCGAGGGAUACUGCUCGGCUAGGGAGUGAGAGAGGCCAGCGGUAUUCCCGGGGUAGGGGCGAAAUCCUAUAAUCCCGGGAGGACCACCAGUGGCGAAGGCGUCCGGCCAAAACGCGCCCGACGGUGAGGGAUGAAAGCUGGGGGAGCGAACGGGAUUAGAUACCCCCGUAGUCC